RNAcentral lists this long non-coding RNA (364 nucleotides) under Monodelphis domestica (gray short-tailed opossum). Its description in RNAcentral is "lncRNA (ENSMODG00000050994.1)". The record is from RNAcentral. Lineage: Eukaryota; Metazoa; Chordata; Mammalia; Didelphimorphia; Didelphidae.
GUGCAAUGUUGGCUAGGUACCCUCUGAUAUCCCCUCUAUUUGUGUGUCUAGAAUCCUAGGCUCUGUGAUGGACUUAGAAAUGACCUUCAAGAAAAUGAAGCCAGGAAGAAUUUCUGGAUCUGAAUGAAUAUACGUUGAGGAAAUCUGUAUUGGAGGUGAUGUAAUGGAUGCAUACUUGCCUGUCUUCUCACCUUGAAAGACAAUCUCAGGAUCUGGAUGGAUGCAAACAAAGAAAACAUUCAGCAAUUCUUUAGUUGUAAGCAUCCUGUGAAGUACAACAUGGUGAGAUAGGAGCUCACCAGAGGUGUUUUCCACCACUAUGGGGAUGUGCUAUUCAAAAUCCAAAUAGAAGAAGGAUUCCCUU